This is a long non-coding RNA of Vombatus ursinus (common wombat), 490 nucleotides long. RefSeq lists it as uncharacterized. NCBI's taxonomy places the organism in Eukaryota, Metazoa, Chordata, Mammalia, Diprotodontia, Vombatidae. The transcript has 3 exons. The record is from RefSeq and is a predicted model, not a curated record.
GGGGCUCCCGGACCCGGGAUGGGGGGUGGGCUGGGUGUGGGGGCAGAGGAUCUGGCUCUUGGAUAGCCUCCUUCAUCGCAUCUACACUGGUUUUGGAGGCUGCAGAGCUGACCUUCCUGUUAGUGUAGCCCGGAGCCAAGAGUGAAGACUCCUUGCACUCUACUGGCCCUUUUAUGAAGGCGAAGGUAAUGGUGAGGACAGGCUGGAGAGAGGAGAGACUAGCCACCGUUCUCCCCGUCCGGGUUCUGCCAGGUCCUCUAUGAAAUUAACAUUUAGAGUGAUAACCAGGAGGAUUCAUUUUGUUAAUGGAGCACUUGAGGACUGGUUCAAGGUCACAUACCAAGUCCAGCAGAGUACUGGUGUUAAGAGCUUCACGGUUUUACAUCAACCUCUGAGUUAUUUGUACCCCUGCCAUGUAUGAAUAACUUGAUUUCCUUCUCUCUGGAAAAGCUAGAAGAACACAAGUGAUAUAAUAAAAUUAAUUACCAAA